GGCAGAACCUGCGGGAUAGGUGGGAGGCUCCUCCGCUGGAAGGAAGGGAAGAGAGGACAGCCGCUGCCCGGGAGCGAGGAGCCGUUUGGGGUCCGGGAGUCAGGCCGCCCACAGCGUCUCCUGCAGCGGAGACGGCGCAGCCGGCGUGUGCCCGGGCUGCCUCGGCGACCCAGCUUGCAGGUGGCAGUGUAGAAGCCAAAACAGGAGCUUCCAGAAGUGGUUUCUGAAAAAUAAAAGCGAAUAUACACGAGUAAGCAAGCACAGGAAUCUGAAAAAACACAGAACUGAACAAAUGGGAGUAUUUCGCAUUUGUCACAUUAGCCUUUGCAUGUUCCCGAGAAAGCUGGUUUCGUUUCCUCAGUGGACCUUGCUUCUCAUGGCAAGUCUCGUCAUUAUGAGCCCAAAGUUCCCAACUGUCCAGCGGGAAGAAUAUCAAAAUUAUCUGCUCACCUCAGAAGGGCUCCCUUCCUUUGACGUUCUUGUCCUUGAGUCCCUCAUAGUCUCAUGGAAGCCUCAUACCUCUUUUUUCCUGCACAAGACAUGUGAGAUGGGAUCUGCAAUUUCAUAAAACAUGUCAUUUUCAUGUCCUCAUCUAUUCUCCUCGUGGAGUCUUCUGUUUAAACAUUAAAUAUUUUUCAGCUUCAUGAUAAGGUAAUUUUGGUGGCAAGCACUUGCAGACUCAUUACAAUAUUUCCAAAGGAGGAAAAUGGGAAUAUUUACAUAAUGUGGUCCUCUUAAAAUAUUUUCUUUCCAUUUUUUCAUUUGUUCCAUUUUGCCUAGGAAACACUCUGUAGGUAGAUGGUAGUGGAGGCAAUUUCACUUGGUUUAAAACUCUCUUGGAUAGAUUCCUUACUGGAUACAUUUACUCUCUUUUGUACUAAAGGGAGGCAUGACUGUCAUCACAAACCCUCCCAUUUAUGAGAAUUUGCUCCAGAGACUUGUAGUAUUAUUAAUAGGCAGCAUCCAUAUGGUUUGCACAAGUAAAAAGAAGAGAAUGAGCCCCUCAAAUUAUUUAAAUUUGAACCAUUUCAU
Non-coding RNA from Manis javanica (Malayan pangolin), 1032 nucleotides. The record is from RefSeq and is a predicted model, not a curated record. Lineage: Eukaryota; Metazoa; Chordata; Mammalia; Pholidota; Manidae.